RNAcentral lists this unclassified non-coding RNA (234 nucleotides) under uncultured fungus. RNAcentral's name for it is "sequence contains ITS1". Lineage: Eukaryota; Fungi. The record is from RNAcentral.
GUAUUGUAUUGCGUUAAACGCGACAUACAUUCCAUGAGACUUUAUAAAUAUGUGUGUGUGUAAAGAAGUAGAACCACAGCGGGAGGACAGAGUCCCCCACACCACAGAACUACAGAGGGUGCACAGGUGUGAGUGGGUGUGUAAACAGAGCGUGCACAUGCCCCCGUUUGGGGACCAGCAACAACUCGUGUCGACAGUUCAGUAAUGAUCCUUCCGCAGGUUCACCUACGGAAA